RNAcentral lists this ribosomal RNA (42 nucleotides) under Fusarium falciforme. RNAcentral's name for it is "partial 28S ribosomal RNA". Lineage: Eukaryota; Fungi; Ascomycota; Sordariomycetes; Hypocreales; Nectriaceae. RNAcentral also lists the same sequence under 1 other name. The record is from RNAcentral.
UGACCUCGAAUCAGGUAGGAAUACCCGCUGAACUUAAGCAUA